Molecule: long non-coding RNA, 240 nt
Filed under: Elaeis guineensis (African oil palm)
Lineage: Eukaryota; Viridiplantae; Streptophyta; Magnoliopsida; Arecales; Arecaceae
Description: long non-coding RNA (EGUI_LNC059070)
Source: RNAcentral
GUGACGCUUGAAAGUAUAGAUAUUCCUAAACAAAGAAAGGGUUAACUGAACUUCGACUAAGCGAUAGAGGGAAAGAAAUCCUAUUAGAAACCUAAAGGAGUUCGGCGCUACAGAAACUAGAGAAAUAUUCAAAAAAUGAAAAAGAGCGACAACAAAGGGGGGAAGCGAAAGUCGAAGCCCGACAUGGAAAGCUUCCUGAUAUAAACAGAAGCAGCCAGGAGGAGGGAUGCUGGCCCGGGU